This 488-nucleotide ribosomal RNA is filed under the name uncultured bacterium. Its description in RNAcentral is "bacterial SSU rRNA". It matches the Rfam family "Bacterial small subunit ribosomal RNA", at positions 24 to 507 of the family's 1533-position model. The record is from RNAcentral.
UCAGGAUGAACGCUAGCGGCAGGCUUAACACAUGCAAGUCGAGGGGUAUAGUUCUUCGGAACUAGAGACCGGCGCACGGGUGCGUAACGCGUAUGCAAUCUACCGUUUUACAGGGGAAUAGCCCAGAGAAAUUUGGAUUAAUGCCCCAUAGUAUAGUUUAUUCGCAUGAGUAGAUUAUUAAAGUUCCAACGGUAAAAGAUGAGCCCGCAUUUGAUUAGUUAGUUGGUGAGGUAAUGGCUCACCAAGACAAUGAUCAAUAGCUGAUCUGAGAGGAUGAUCAGCCACACUGGGACUGAGACACGGCCCAGACUCCUACGGGAGGCAGCAGUGGGGAAUUUUGGACAAUGGGCGCAAGCCUGAUCCAGCCAUGCCGCGUGCGGGAAGAAGGCCUUCGGGUUGUAAACCGCUUUUGUCAGGGAAGAAAUCCUUUGAGUUAAUACCUCGGGGGGAUGACGGUACCUGAAGAAUAAGCACCGGCUAACUACGUG